Molecule: ribosomal RNA, 240 nt
Filed under: uncultured bacterium
Lineage: Bacteria
Description: partial 16S ribosomal RNA
Rfam family: Bacterial small subunit ribosomal RNA
Source: RNAcentral
GUGAGGAACCUGCCUUGGAGAGGGGAAUAACACAGAGAAAUUUGUGCUAAUACCGCAUGAUGCAGUUGGGUCGCAUGGCUCUGACUGCCAAAGAUUUUAUCGCUCUGAGAUGGCCUCGCGUCUGAUUAGCUAGUUGGUGGGGCAACGGCCCACCAAGGCGACGAUCAGUAGCCGGACUGAGAGGGUGACCGGCCACAUUGGGACUGAGACACGGCCCAAACUCCUACGGGAGGCAGCAUG